This is a ribosomal RNA of Lepisosteus oculatus (spotted gar), 119 nucleotides long. The record is from Ensembl. Lineage: Eukaryota; Metazoa; Chordata; Actinopteri; Semionotiformes; Lepisosteidae.
AAUGGCAGCCAUAUCACCCUGCAACUCACAACUGGCAACCCACUGAAGCUAAGCAGGCGUGAGCCUGGUCAGUACCUGGAUGGGAGACCUCCUGGGAAAAACUAAGGUUGCUGCUGGAA